This 209-nucleotide long non-coding RNA is filed under the name Mytilus galloprovincialis (Mediterranean mussel). The record is from RNAcentral. Lineage: Eukaryota; Metazoa; Mollusca; Bivalvia; Mytilida; Mytilidae.
UUAAGUAAAUAGAAAUCUAUGGAAUUUAAACACAAGGUUUAUGACCACAAAAGGAAGGUUGGAAUUGAUUUUGGAAGUUUUGGUCCCAACAGUUUAGGAAUUAGGGGGCCAAAAAGGGCCAAAAUAAGCAUUUUCUUGGUUUUCGCACUAUAACUUUAGUUUAAGUAAAUAGAAAUCAAUGAAAUUUAAACACAAGGUUUAUGAACACA